UACGUAGGGUCCGAGCGUUGUCCGGAUUUAUUGGGCGUAAAGAGCGUGUAGGCGGCCAGGUAGGUCUGCUGUGAAAACUCGAGGCUCAACCUCGAGACGUCGGCGGAAACCAUCUGGCUAGAGUCCGGAAGAGGAGAGUGGAAUUCCUGGUGUAGCGGUGAAAUGCGCAGAUAUCAGGAAGAACACCCGUGGCGAAGGCGGCUCUCUGGGACGGUACUGACGCUGAGACGCGAAAGCGUGGGGAGCGAACAGG
Molecule: ribosomal RNA, 253 nt
Filed under: uncultured bacterium
Lineage: Bacteria
Description: partial 16S ribosomal RNA
Rfam family: Bacterial small subunit ribosomal RNA
Source: RNAcentral